This 253-nucleotide ribosomal RNA is filed under the name uncultured bacterium. Its description in RNAcentral is "partial 16S ribosomal RNA". It matches the Rfam family "Bacterial small subunit ribosomal RNA", at positions 524 to 776 of the family's 1533-position model. The record is from RNAcentral.
UACGUACGUGGCGAGCGUUAUCCGGAAUUACUGGGCGUAAAGGGCUCGUAGGUGGCCAACUAAGUCAGACGUGAAAUCCCUCAGCUUAACUGGGGAACUGCGUCUGAUACUGGAUGGCUUGAGUUUGGGAGAGGGAUGCGGAAUUCCAGGUGUAGCGGCGAAAUGCGUUGAUAUCCUAAGGAACACCGGUGGCGAAAGCGGCGUACUGGGUCUUAUCUGACGCUGAGGCACGAAAGCUAGGGUAGCGAACGGG